RNAcentral lists this ribosomal RNA (494 nucleotides) under uncultured organism. RNAcentral's name for it is "SSU rRNA". It matches the Rfam family "Bacterial small subunit ribosomal RNA", at positions 18 to 509 of the family's 1533-position model. The record is from RNAcentral.
CCUGGCUCAGGAUGAACGCUGGCGGCGUGCCUAACACAUGCAAGUCGAACGAAGCACUUUGUUACGAUCCCUUCGGGGUGACGACUUUGUGACUGAGUGGCGGACGGGUGAGUAACGCGUGGGAAACCUGCCCUAUACCGGGGGAUAACAGUUGGAAACGACUGCUAAUACCGCAUAAGCGCACGAGAUGGCAUCAUCUAGUGUGAAAAACUCCGGUGGUAUAGGAUGGUCCCGCGUCUGAUUAGCUAGUUGGUGAGGUAACGGCCCACCAAGGCGACGAUCAGUAGCCGACCUGAGAGGGUGACCGGCCACAUUGGGACUGAGACACGGCCCAAACUCCUACGGGAGGCAGCAGUGGGGAAUAUUGCACAAUGGGCGAAAGCCUGAUGCAGCGACGCCGCGUGAGCGAUGAAGUAUUUCGGUAUGUAAAGCUCUAUCAGCAGGGAAGAACAAAUGACGGUACCUGACUAAGAAGCUCCGGCUAAAUACGUGCC